This is a long non-coding RNA of Gallus gallus (chicken), 2255 nucleotides long. The record is from Ensembl. NCBI's taxonomy places the organism in Eukaryota, Metazoa, Chordata, Aves, Galliformes, Phasianidae.
UGCCUCUUUCCCUCCUCUUCCUCUGAAGCACCCUGGAGUCAGGAUGCAGCCUUUAAUGACUCAGUAGUCUGCUUGGCUGUGGCAGAUCUUACAUUUCUGGAGAGAAUCAAUAUAAACACUUUCUUUUGUCUUUCCUUUAUUUUUUUUCCCCUUUACCCAUUGUACUGCCUCCUAUUUCACUGUCUGCUGUCUACCAGCGCCUAAGGAAACUGUGAUUGGUAAUUACUGGUGCCUGGUGCUGCCCAGCCUGCAACAAAAUUGCUCAGUGUGAAAGGCAGCAAUGAUCGAUGUCACGCUUGGAGAGCACUGGCUGCUGGGAGAGGAGCCAAGUGGCCAACUGGCCGAUACAACGGAACAGCUGCCUCUUCAUUUCCUGGUUUGGAGACUGACUCAGAAUUGAAGACAUUAAGCAUUAAAAUUAGCUGAAAAAUAAAGGGUGGAGAUGCGAAUAAUGUCAGGGACUUUGCAUUCUAUUUCUCACGAGCUUUCAAACUUGUUCAACUUUUAAGAAAAGUCUUGUUUAAUACUUGUUGUUCCAGCUACUUUUAGAAGACAUUUUGGAAGACAGGAAGGCCAGAUACUUCAGGCAAGAGGCAUAAUGACUUGGGGCACAGACCACUAAAAAAAAAAAAUCAAUCCUGAAUCCCUGAGGCUUCUGUACUCUUGUUGAGAAGGCAGAACCUAGUGUUUCAUCAAAUUUUUUGUGAUAACCAUUGAUGACGUUGCAGAAACCAUGAUAAUGUAAAAUAAUGGAUUAAAUUUGUAUGAGCAUAACUGUAGUGAUGAAACAAUUUAAACUCAUUUCUGAAGGCAUUCAUGCACUGGUGCUUGCUCAGGGUGUGAGCUAGAAGGCCACUAUCCCUUCAAAAUUAGACAGAGAUGUUGAUGACCAUUCUCAGUUAUUAUACUUCUAAAUUACAGCCUGUCCUCAUCCUUGAAGAUCAAAAAGGGAGUAAUUUCUGUUUUACAGGAGAUUACUCGCACUACAAGUCUAACUCUUGUUCACUUUGAGGUACUUAAAUAAAUCUGGAGCCCUGGCUGUAGGACAGACAGACAGUUCCAGUGGGAAAAUCAGCUCUGAAUUUCAUAAUGGGAAUUUCAUUCAUUUUCUGAAUGUGUUCAUCCUUAUCCAUUAGCCCAGAGGACCCAGGACUAGCAGACGCCUUUGAAAUUCAGCCCACUGCCUCAGGUUAGAUUAAAUGAAUCCAUACUUCUGAUCAGCAGAGUUAAAAAAAAAAAUACAAAACCCAAACCAACCAAAAAGCACCAACAACCACAUAACCAUAUAAUAAUAUGGAAGGAAAUAAAGGACAAGGGAUAUUUUUAUUUGUGCAGCUGACCAGAUAUUUCCAUCUUUGGAUUGCUCCCUCUGCUGCCUGCAAGGUAGCUGGAGGGGAGCUAGCAAAGCUACCCAGGUGGACUCUGCAUCCCUCUUCCUCGCCCAACUCCCAGCAUUAGAGAUGCCGACAGUUACUAGAUAAAGUUAAAGACUCAUGUAGUGAUCUUCACACUAAUUGGACUGUAAUGUAUAGCCUCGGUCAAGCAAAUCUCUCCCAGCACUCCUCUCCACAGACGGCAAUCAAGCCAUUUACAGAAGAUGCAUCGGCUGCUGGGACCCUGGAGUAACCUUAAACUACGCUGGCCUUUUAGCAGAAAACACAAUUAAUUUUGAUACUGAAGGGCAAUUAGGACUGGGGUUAAAAUAAAAAAUCUUCUGAACAGAGAAUGUCAAAGACUGGUAAGGAAACUAUUUCCCUUGUACACAGCUUGUUGAAGGUCUGUAAGCACGGCGACUGUCAGCUCACGUUAAUUCAUAUCACUUUGAAAACCUCUCAUUUCAAUGUAGGAAAUAUAAAUUCAGAUUAAUAAGCACUGUGCUCAAACCUCACUAAGACUGAUGGCUGUUUUCUUUAAGUCUUUUGCUGCUGAAAUGAGCACAGCUUCUCCCUCUUGCUGGGGAAACCUGUUUUACAUCCCAGAAUGUAGUGAAAUGACCAAAUGCAUUUAUUUUGUUCUGUUUCAUUUCUAAAAGAAGAUAGUCUCCCAGAUGACGCUCUGCAGAUCACGGCUGAGAGCAAAUCUUGUCAGCAACUCUGUAAACUACUCUUUAGAAAUACAGAAGAUGUUCACAGUAAUACAUAUCUACAAUGCACCCACAUGCCCUGAUGCAUGUGCAAGGCAGCCAAAAUUUUGACCUCGCCUGCACGAACUGCAUAGGUCGAUGCCACUCUCAAUAAGUCAAGCAAAUGCACCAG